GAUGAACGCUGACAGAAUGCUUAACACAUGCCAGUCAUUGGCGAAGCUGCGCUUGCGCAGUCUAGCCAAGGCGGACGGGUGAGUAACGCGUAAGGAACUUGCCCUGCAGACAGGGAUAACAGACGGAAACGACUGAUAACACCUGGUAUUGUCAGGCUGGCGCAUGCCGGCCUGAUGAAAGGAGACGCUGCAGGAGAGCCUUGCGUCCUAUUAGCUAGUUGGUGGGGUAACGGCCCACCAAGGCGAUGAUAGGUAGCCGGCCUGAGAGGGUGAACGGCCACAAGGGGACUGAGAUACGGCCCUUACUCCUACGGGAGGCAGCAGUGGGGAAUAUUGGACAAUGGGGGCAACCCUGAUCCAGCAAUUCUGUGUGCACGAAGAAGGUUUUCGGAUUGUAAAGUGCUUUCAGCAGGGAAGAAGAAAGUGACGGUACCUGCAGAAGAAGCGACGGCUAAAUACGUG
Molecule: ribosomal RNA, 462 nt
Filed under: uncultured bacterium
Lineage: Bacteria
Description: partial 16S ribosomal RNA
Rfam family: Bacterial small subunit ribosomal RNA
Source: RNAcentral